RNAcentral lists this ribosomal RNA (506 nucleotides) under uncultured bacterium. Its description in RNAcentral is "partial 16S ribosomal RNA". It matches the Rfam family "Bacterial small subunit ribosomal RNA", at positions 29 to 523 of the family's 1533-position model. The record is from RNAcentral.
AGUGAACGCUGGCGGUAGGCCUAACACAUGCAAGUCGAACGGCAGCACAGAGGAGCUUGCUCCUUGGGUGGCGAGUGGCGGACGGGUGAGGAAUACAUCGGAAUCUACUCUGUCGUGGGGGAUAACGUAGGGAAACUUACGCUAAUACCGCAUACGACCUACGGGUGAAAGCAGGGGACCUUCGGGCCUUGCGCGAUUGAAUGAGCCGAUGUCGGUUUAGCUAGUUGGCGGGGUAAAGGCCCACCAAGGCGACGAUCCGUAGCUGGUCUGAGGGGAUGAUCAGCCACAAUGGAACUGAGGCACGGUCCAGACGCCUACGGGAGGCAGCAGUGGGGAAUAUUGGACAAUGGGCGCAAGCCUGAUCCAGCCAUACCGCGUGGGUGAAGAAGGCCUUCGGGUUGUAAAGCCCUUUUGUUGGGAAAGAAAUCCAGCUGGCUAAUACCCGGUUGGGAUGACGGUACCCAAAGAAUAAGCACCGGCUAACUUCGUGCCAGCAGCCGCAGUAA